This 464-nucleotide ribosomal RNA is filed under the name uncultured bacterium. RNAcentral describes it as "partial 16S ribosomal RNA". It matches the Rfam family "Bacterial small subunit ribosomal RNA", at positions 339 to 795 of the family's 1533-position model. The record is from RNAcentral.
CUACGGGAGGCACCAGUGGGGAAUAUUGCACAAUGGGGGAAACCCUGAUGCAGCCAUGCCGCGUGUGUGAAGAAGGCUUUCGGGUUGUAAAGCACUUUCAGUGGGGAGGAAAGGGUGCAGAUUAAUACUCUGUAUCUGUGACGUUACCCACAGAAGAAGCACCGGCUAACUCCGUGCCAGCAGCCGCGGUAAUACGGAGGGUGCGAGCGUUAAUCGGAAUUACUGGGCGUAAAGCGCGCGUAGGUGGUUAAUUAAGUCAGAUGUGAAAGCCCAGGGCUCAACCCUGGAACAGCAUUUGAAACUGGUUAACUAGAGUUUUGUAGAGGGUGGUAGAAUUUCAGGUGUAGCGGUGAAAUGCGUAGAGAUCUGAAGGAAUACCAGUGGCGAAGGCGGCCACCUGGACAGAGACUGACACUGAGGCGCGAAGGCGUGGGGAGCAAACGGGAUUAGAUACCCGGGUAGUC